This is a long non-coding RNA of Empidonax traillii (willow flycatcher), 447 nucleotides long. RefSeq lists it as uncharacterized. The record is from RefSeq and is a predicted model, not a curated record. NCBI's taxonomy places the organism in Eukaryota, Metazoa, Chordata, Aves, Passeriformes, Tyrannidae. The transcript is spliced from 4 exons.
GAGCACUGGCGUUUCCUGAGCGCAAGCAAAUGCCUGACACAUGGACUUCGCCGAAUUCCAAAAUGUAGCAAAACAGUGCCUGCAUAUUUGGCAGGAAUCACCACCAGUUCAGGUCAGUGUCUGUUUCAGCAGAAGACGAAGCCCUGCAUGUUAACAGAGGAAAAUAAUUCAGAGGAAAAGGGGAGGAACAACAUGUGACAUUUUAUCCCAGACUGUCCACCCUGCUCUCAGGAGAGGAUGGUAAAGCAGACUGUUUUGUGCAGUAAUAGAGCUUGGAAAUGGUGACAAACACAAGCUGAGAUUACUUCCAAAUAUGAAGAGCGAGACUAUCAAAGGGAAAAGACAAUCUCACAGAGCCCUCUGUGUUUCCUGUAGUGGAGUUGAUUUCAGAAGAAGAAAACACGGAAAACAGAAAACAUCUAAACUGGACUUCAUAAGUCUGAAGUA